GAUGAACGCUGGCGGCGUGCCUAAUACAUGCAAGUCGAGCGAACGGACGAGAAGCUUGCUUCUCUGAUGUUAGCGGCGGACGGGUGAGUAACACGUGGAUAACCUACCUAUAAGACUGGGAUAACUUCGGGAAACCGGAGCUAAUACCGGAUAAUAUUUUGAACCGCAUGGUUCAAAAGUGAAAGACGGUCUUGCUGUCACUUAGAGAUGGAUCCGCGCUGCAUUAGCUAGUUGGUAAGGUAACGGCUUACCAAGGCAACGAUGCAUAGCCGACCUGAGAGGGUGAUCGGCCACACUGGAACUGAGACACGGUCCAGACUCCUACGGGAGGCAGCAGUAGGGAAUAUUCCGCAAUGGGCGAAAGCCUGACGGAGCAACGCCGCGUGAGUGAUGAAGGCCUUCGGAUCGUAAAACUCUGUUAUUAGGGAAGAACAUAUGUGUAAGUAACUGUGCACAUCUUGACGGUACCUAAUCAGAAAGCCACGGCUAACUACGUG
This 497-nucleotide ribosomal RNA is filed under the name uncultured bacterium. RNAcentral describes it as "partial 16S ribosomal RNA". It matches the Rfam family "Bacterial small subunit ribosomal RNA", at positions 28 to 507 of the family's 1533-position model. The record is from RNAcentral.